AUUGCAAUUGUGGUUGGAACUAAAAUCAGCUUGCACCCACCCUGAGGUUUAGAACCACUGUUUUAGCUUGUAAUACGUAAAGCUCAAUUUUGCGAGACGCAGCGCCUAACCUUCCAGUUCGCGUAAAAAUGUGGCCGAACCCAAAAUCCAUGUAACCCAACAAAAACCCGAGCGCUACACGGAGCUUGAUUCAUUCUAACUGCGACAGAAGAAAGGGACUUUCUACUUGAAUGCGAAUCUCCCACUGCUGACAACAGUGACGGAUUGGAGUUCGCUAGUUUUCAGGGGGUUCCAGGCGAUGCAAUUUCGUAAAGCCUAGACAGUUCGUUUCCGCGUUUACAAAAGAGCGUGAGCGAGCCCUUCUGUCGGCAGCGCACAAAGGGUGCGCACCUUUCACUUGGAAAGAAAGAGAGGGGAGAGUUAGCACGAUAAUGAACACGAGCAAGCUUACUAACGGGCUAAAUUAGAACAAAUAUCAUCGAAAUUUGAAGGAAAUAGCCACUGAGGAGACAUUUACGACCACGCGCUGGCGAUAUCCUGUACAGAACCAGACCUUUUUACGGAGAGUGCGAAGUGUCCUCGCGACGUCCCGGCAUCUAGGCUGUCCAACAGGCCCAGCCACUGACCGAGCUGCCACCACAGAGUGACCAAGAGA
Long non-coding RNA from Anguilla anguilla (European eel), 655 nucleotides. RefSeq lists it as uncharacterized. NCBI's taxonomy places the organism in Eukaryota, Metazoa, Chordata, Actinopteri, Anguilliformes, Anguillidae. The record is from RefSeq and is a predicted model, not a curated record. The transcript has 2 exons.